GCCGGAGUAGCCAAGGCAGUCAAGGCACGAGUCUGAAAAACUUGGGAUACAGGUGCAAUUCCUGUCUCCGGCACUA
RNAcentral lists this transfer RNA (76 nucleotides) under Candidatus Beckwithbacteria bacterium CG10_big_fil_rev_8_21_14_0_10_34_10. RNAcentral describes it as "tRNA-Phe". It matches the Rfam family "tRNA". From Rfam's summary of the family: Transfer RNA (tRNA) molecules are approximately 80 nucleotides in length. Their secondary structure includes four short double-helical elements and three loops (D, anti-codon, and T loops). The record is from RNAcentral. Lineage: Bacteria; Candidatus Beckwithiibacteriota.